GCAAGGUGUGGUAGUACAUGUCUAUAACCCUAGCUUCCAAGGAGUCUGAAGUUGGAAGAUCUCUUGAGCUGGGGAGUUCUGAGCUGCUGCGCACUAUGCUAACAGGGUGUUCACACUAAGUUUGGCAUUAAUUUGGUGAGUUCCUAGACAUGAGAGGCCACCAUGUUGCUUAAGGAAAGACAAACUUGUCCAGGUCAGAAAUGGACCAGGUCAAAGUUCUAAUGCUGGUCAAUAGAGGGAUCAGGCCCAUGAAUAGCCCUUUCACUUCCAGCCUUGGUAAGAGGAGCACACUUAAUCUUU
RNAcentral lists this signal recognition particle RNA (300 nucleotides) under Phascolarctos cinereus (koala). Its description in RNAcentral is "Metazoan signal recognition particle RNA (ENSPCIG00000016354.2)". It matches the Rfam family "Metazoan signal recognition particle RNA". Rfam says of the family: The signal recognition particle (SRP) is a universally conserved ribonucleoprotein. The record is from RNAcentral. Lineage: Eukaryota; Metazoa; Chordata; Mammalia; Diprotodontia; Phascolarctidae.